CAGUCGUACCAGCGGGAAUCAACCUUUCGAGUGGGGUUUUGGAGUUUUUUGAAGAGUGUCAAAACCUUUAUUUCAAAAUAUUCGCUCUUUUGGUGUACUUUCUCGUGGGUAGGUUAACAUCGAUUUUGAUCAUCAUAAAAAGAUUGGAGGAAUGUAGCUUCGAUCCUGUAUUGAAGUGUUAUAGCCUUUGGUAAAUGUGAUGAUUAGGAUCGAGGAUUGCAACGAAUACCCUUUUGGGCUAUCCGCCUGAUCUCUGAUACGUGGCCUUGGUAUCGAAAGCGUGCUUAUGGUAUUGAGGUAUUACGGUCAAAAGGUUAGAACGGAUUACAUUCGUUAAGGAUGUUGACGUA
This 350-nucleotide ribosomal RNA is filed under the name uncultured Glomeromycotina. RNAcentral's name for it is "LSU rRNA". The record is from RNAcentral. Lineage: Eukaryota; Fungi; Glomeromycota.